CAGAACCAAGAGAUCCGUUGUUAAAAGUUUUAAUUUAUUAAUUAAGUUUACUCAGACUGCAAAGUUACGCAAGAGUUUGAAGUGUCCACCCGGAGCCCCCGCCCGAAGGCAGGGUCGCCCCGGAGGCAACAGAGUCGGACAACAGAGGGUUAUGAAUAACCAGGCCGAAGCCCGGGCGUUCUUGUAAUGAUCCCU
This 195-nucleotide unclassified non-coding RNA is filed under the name uncultured Cladosporium. RNAcentral's name for it is "sequence contains ITS1". The record is from RNAcentral. Lineage: Eukaryota; Fungi; Ascomycota; Dothideomycetes; Cladosporiales; Cladosporiaceae.